CACGUCACACGAUACACCCUUCCUGCAGAGCAAAAGCGCUCAGCGGGAAAACAGAUAACAGAACAUCAUUAUUAACAGUCCUCGGAGAGCAGACAUCGUUUCACCAUGAGCCGACGUUUGGUUUUCUUCGUUUUUGUGUCGUUGAUGGUAUUAUUGGCUGUUGUGGAGGUAACAGCAAAUACAAAUCAUGAAAAACAACCAAACAGAACCUCUAGCGAAAAGCCGACAGGCGCAGCGGACACGCUGGCUGCCCCUCUGAUCCUGCAGCUGGCCGGGACUCUCUUUCCUCUGCUGCUGCACAAGCUCUUCUGACGGGCCUGCCUCCCAGGGACCGGCCCGUGCCAGACGGAGAAGGAUCUGCCAAAUACAGAACCACAUCUGCUUAGGAGCACGUAUACAAACUUCUGUUGUUUUGUGAUGACCUCAUUGUACGGGAGUGCUGGUGGAACAGCACAGUGAAUGUUUCUAAGGUACCUCUGCAUACUAGCGAAUUCUUUGCAAAUGAUAAAUUGCAUUUUGUCUGUAAAGCGGAUUGGAAUGAUAUUUUCUUACAACAAUAAACGUUUUUUGGCUUGGCACUA
Long non-coding RNA from Lepisosteus oculatus (spotted gar), 581 nucleotides. RefSeq lists it as uncharacterized. The record is from RefSeq and is a predicted model, not a curated record. NCBI's taxonomy places the organism in Eukaryota, Metazoa, Chordata, Actinopteri, Semionotiformes, Lepisosteidae.